Molecule: ribosomal RNA, 504 nt
Filed under: uncultured bacterium
Lineage: Bacteria
Description: partial 16S ribosomal RNA
Rfam family: Bacterial small subunit ribosomal RNA
Source: RNAcentral
GAUAAACGCUAGCGGCAGGCUUAACGCAUGCAAGUCGAGGGGCAGCAUAGAUUGUAGCAAUACAAUUGGUGGCGACCGGCGCACGGGUGCGUAACGCGUAUGCAACCUACCCGUCACAGCGGGAUAAUCCGGAGGAAUCUGGUCUAAUACCCCAUAACAUAUGGAUCGGCAUCGGGUCAUGUUGAAAUUUUCGGAGGUGACGGAUGGGCAUGCGUAGCAUUAGCUUGUUGGUGAGGUAACGGCUCACCAAGGCGACGAUGCUUAGGGGGACUGAGAGGUUUUCCCCCCACACUGGUACUGAGACACGGACCAGACUCCUACGGGAGGCAGCAGUGAGGAAUAUUGGUCAAUGGGCGCAAGCCUGAACCAGCCAUGCCGCGUGCAGGAUGACGGCUCUAUGAGUUGUAAACUGCUUUUGUACGAGGGUAAAGUGGGUUACGUGUAACCUUUUGAAAGCAUCGUACGAAUAAGGAUCGGCUAACUCCGUGCCAGCAGCCGCAGUAA